UACGAAGGGGGCUAGCGUUGUUCGGAUUUACUGGGCGUAAAGCGCACGUAGGCGGUUUGUUAAGUCAGGGGUGAAAUCCCGGAGCUCAACUCCGGAACUGCCUUUGAUACUGGCAAGCUAGAGUCCGGAAGAGGUAAGUGGAACUCCUAGUGUAGAGGUGGAAUUCGUAGAUAUUAGGAAGAACACCAGUGGCGAAGGCGGCUUACUGGUCCGGAACUGACGCUGAGGUGACGAAGCGUGGGGAGCAAACAGG
Molecule: ribosomal RNA, 253 nt
Filed under: uncultured bacterium
Lineage: Bacteria
Description: partial 16S ribosomal RNA
Rfam family: Bacterial small subunit ribosomal RNA
Source: RNAcentral